CGUGUUUUAGUUUAUAUUGCAGGAAAUGUUAAGUGACAAUAUACAUAGACUGGCAAGUAUCAUGUAACAGUAUCUAUUUCUAAAUUUACAAUAAGCAGUUGUGAGAGGACCGUUGGAUAUCACUCUACUGUGAAUAGAAAGGAAAUAAUAAGUCAGUAUGAUCAACAUAAAAUUUCUUAAAAUAGACCAUGAUAAAGAAAACAACCUAUUAAUUAUUUUGUAUGAAGGCAUCAUCUGUAAACAGAGAAAUAUCGAUAUUAUUGAGUGUUUUCUUAUGUGGUGCUGUACCAUUACUGAUCCAGGUAUUCAAAAUGGUUUGAUCAAAAUGUGAGAUCGAUUUAUUUAUUCGAAAUAUCAAAAGUGUUUUAG
Molecule: long non-coding RNA, 369 nt
Organism: Mytilus trossulus (common blue mussel)
Lineage: Eukaryota; Metazoa; Mollusca; Bivalvia; Mytilida; Mytilidae
Exons: 3
Source: RefSeq, a predicted model, not a curated record